Long non-coding RNA from Populus trichocarpa (black cottonwood), 4010 nucleotides. RefSeq lists it as uncharacterized. The transcript is spliced from 3 exons. Lineage: Eukaryota; Viridiplantae; Streptophyta; Magnoliopsida; Malpighiales; Salicaceae. The record is from RefSeq and is a predicted model, not a curated record.
GCCAAACAAGGUGAAACGCCGAGCCUGGUAGCGUGGGCUUGUGAUCCAAGUGGAGGCAUUAAGGUGAUGGAACGUUGAUCUUGUCCAGAUGGCUGAGUCUAGUGUGAUGAAUUUCUGGCCCGCCCAUUCCAAGCCGAGAGCUGAGCUAUGUGACCCCAGCGAAGGCUUGGGCUACAUGUCUCCUAAAGUGGGGGGCAAUGCGUGAGGCUGGUUUCACAGAGCAGCGACAACCUCCCGCUCCUGGCAGUGGAAGGACAACGGGCUGUUGUCACCUAGGCUCAUAUUGUCUGAUGGGCUGAUAAAACUGGACCAUCACUUUUUUAUUUUCCCAUUUAAAUCAUUUUUGUUUCUUCCUUUUGGCGUGCGCUGAUGAAGUAUCUAGGGGAGGAGGGACUCAUACGAGUUGGGUUUCUUUUGGCUGGCUGCUUUCUGGCGGGUCUGGGUUCAGCUUAGAUGGCCUUGAUCGUACGGUGGACCUCAUUCUUCAUUGGUGAGUGGGGGUGCCAUCAUUGUACAUUAAAUGCACGCCCCACUUGCCAUGACCUUUGCCCUCUUGGUGAAUUGAAAGAGUGGGGUUUUGGUUCCUGGGAUUUCACACCCUGUUCUCUCCUGACCAGCUGGUCUGAUUGAGUGCUGCCCCACCUCUCUUCUCCCUCUUCUAAUUCGGUUGGGAUGUUGUCAGGUGAGCUUUUUUCUAUUAUUGAUAGGGAAUUUUGUGUCUGAGAGGCUUCGCUUGCUUUGUUUUCUUUUUGUGUCCGCUUCUUGGAAUUUGGUUGGCAUGGCUUUGUAGGGAAGUAUAUAAGCUUCUUCUUUUUUUUUAAUCUAUUCUGUGUGGUGAAUUCUCACAUUUCCUUUUGUUUUCUUAAUUCUGAGUUUUUUUUUUUUUAUUCUCUGAUUUGAUUUUGUAUGGUAGACAGAUUUCACAACUGAUUGGAAUUCUUAUUUGGAGGUAAUGAUUAUAUUUAAGCUUUUAUGUUUUCUUUCUUCUCUGUUUCUUUAUCACAUUUAGUUUCAAUCAUGAUUUAGAAUUAGUUUCUUUAGAAAUUUCCUUCAAGAUGACAACUGGGUUUAGUUCUGUUGUUUCUUUCAGAUUUAAUUCAAUCUGGACAGAAAAACUUUUCCUCAGCGGGUUUGAUGCAAAUAUAAAUAAUUAUAAGCAUUAAAGCUGACUGGUUUAUUCUUCGCAUCUAAAUGUUUUUUUUGCAGGAUAUUGCCAAUUACAUGCAUGAUCACAAUGAUGCAGAGGCUACACCGUUCUAUGCAAAUUGCUUGCAUUUGUAUUUAUGGAAUGCGUGAUGCAUUCAUUCAAGGUUUGAACAACAUUAGUUUGUGUGUGACAAUUCACUUCUAAUCCUAUAUACUGGAGACUCGAAAAACAUUAUUUAAUGGGCAUAGCAUGUUAACCAUUUCCUUUCAUCCUUCCACAUUAUUAUGGUGGAAUUUAUAAUAGCAUAAAUAGUUGCAACUUCCAAUAGCCUCGCUAAACAUGUUGCCAUUGCUUUUGAUGGCUGCUGAGAGGUUGUCAGACAAUUUCUUAGGAAGAAGGUUCGGCUGCUGAAAGGUUGUUAUGAUCGAGGUUACUUCAUUGGGGUUGAGCCUUUUGGUUGCGAAUAUGAGGUGGCCUUCCAUUAAUGCAUUUGACAGGGCAUUUAGCAUUUUGUGUUUGUUUCUAUCAGUUUAGGCUAUUAUGAUGCCGCCAGUAUGAAGGCUUCAGGUUAUCUCACUUGCCUUUUGUUUUUGGUUUUACUCCUGUGCUUGCUGUCUUUUUACUUCUUUGUCCACUUAUUCCUCGUGCGAUCUGAAAAGGUGUCUGUUUGUUUUUCUGUUGUCUUUUUAAAUGGUCAAUUCUGGUCUACGUUGUCCAUCUUCGUAAGGGUUUCUUCCUACUCUUUUCCUUUAGCUCAGAUGUUUGUUCUUUUUUAAGAGAGGGAGGCUGUUGUGGUCCUCUGCUUUGUUUGGUAUCUGUCUUCUCUUCUUUUUUGCUGAUUCGAUUGGUUGUUUGAAGGAUUUAACUUUGUCUUGAGUUGCUUCUUUUUUUUUUCUUUUUUUUUCCAGCAGGGGUUGCUUUUGAAGGAGGUAAUUGGCUCUCUCUAUUGGUUCUUCGGUUGAAUAGAUUUUGGGAGAUUCUUACUGAUUAUCAUCCUUUCAGCUGAUUUCAGUAUGGCAUGUCAUGUGAUAAAUUCUUUUAGGUAAUUGAUGCAAACCAGAAACAACCUGGUUACCCCACUGGAGUGUGUUGAAGUAGCAUUAUAGCUAAGGAAAUUUGAUUGUAUCAUGUAAUUUGAACUGCCAUUGUAGUUUAAACUUAUUACCUCCACUUGGAACAAUCAAACUGUAAUAUAUUACCUUUCCACUGUUGUUUCUGGUUUGCAUCAGUUACUCAUAUUUCAUUGAACUAAGUGGGGUAAUUUGCAUCCCAGAUAUCUGUCAGUGCUAAUGGCAGUUCACAUUCUACAAUGGUAAAUUUCAUUGACUUGCAAUAUUGGUACAGGACUAUUCAUCAAAAAGGUCCAGGACUUGCUUGCUAGAGACUAGGUGGUUCAGGUUCAUCAUGCUUACAAGCUGCUGAUUGGCUAGCAAACUUGGGUUUUUUAAAAGGCCACUGGGAAAAGCUGCUACGGAUGCUCCCUCUUCUGGUUUAAUCCCUGUCUUAUUUUAUGAUAUUAUUGGGAGUAUAUCUUUAUUUAUUAAUUGCAUUUGCUUUAACUUUGUAUAUCAAACAUGCAGAGCAUGGAUUCAAAUUUAAUAGAUAGUAAAAGGCAGGGAGCGUGCUAUAUAUAUUGUAUAAAUCAAGAAUUAUGUGAUCUUCAUAUAUAUACACUUAACCGUGUCAGCCCAAUUAAGCUUGUAAUGCAGCUUCAAAUGAGGGAACUAGAAAGAAUGUUUGAUGAAGUACAUUGUCUGUCUUAUACCAUUUUCAUUAUAAUGCUCCAGUUGUAAGUACGAGAGAGAGAUGAAGCCUCUUCAUUCCAUGAUAUCCAAUCUACAUGACCUGAUUUUCAAUUCUUUUCUAUUGUUUCCUAUCCAGAUUAUGAAGUUGAUAAACUAGAAAAUGCAGGCAUCAUCAAAGGAUUUGACUAUUAUUUAUUUCUGGACUUCAUAUUGGUGAAUUCUAUGUGGUAAAGUCGCAUCCUAAAGUGUAACGAAUACUAAAAUAAAACUACAGGCCAUCCAGUUCAUUCAGCAGUAUUUAAAGUGGAGGAACUUUGCACUUGGAAUUAAGACAUGGUACUUUUUCCUUAGUUGCAUCUGAAAAAUCUAAUGCAUUCAACGAAAUGAAGAAUGGAUGCACAGAGGCUCGGGAACUUGCACUCAGUUAAGCUUUAUAGGCUUCAUUUUCGUGUGGUGUAAGCUGUUUUCAUCUGUUUGAUAAAAGAUUCGUUUGCAAUCUCUCCAUGUAUUCCCAUGGCAGCUCCAAGGCAAGACCAACAUGGAAGCACUUGUGAUAAUAAUGGAAUGUUGCACUUACCUUGGUUUCUGAAAUCCUAUUGAGAAAUUGCCAACCUUUGCCUUGGUUUCUGAAAACCUAUUGAGAAAUUGCUAACCUUUUUAACUUACCUUAUUCAGGGUGUCAAUUUAUCCUAUAUGUAUUAUACCAUAUAUAUCCACUCAAAGAGAACAAUGAUCUGCAGUCUGAUAGAUGAAGUAUCGGUAGGAAAAUAAGAAUAAUAAAGAAAAGAUAUUGUGUUUAUUGAGAAAGUUUCAUCCAUGGAGCAGGGGAGUCGGGAGCUCGAAGGGAGAGAAUCCCACAUCAGCAAAGCACCUCCUUUAUGUCGAUUCGCAGUUCCUUGCCCAAUCUCUACGGGGAAAAGGUACUGGCUCCCUCACUUUAUAUUGGACACAGCAAACGAGAUGAGUAUGGGCCCAGUAAAGUGGGCUUGUGAUCCAAGUAGAAGCACCGAGGUGACGCCGUAACGGGACCUUGUUUCUGUCCAGAAGACUGGGUCCGUGGUGGCUAUUCUCUGGCCUGCCCAUUCCAAGCUGAAAGUGCGUGAGGCUGGUUUAGUGUU